GACGAACGCUGGCGGCGUGCUUAACACAUGCAAGUCGAACGGAAAGGCCCUGCUUUUGUGGGGUGCUCGAGUGGCGAACGGGUGAGUAACACGUGAGUAACCUGCCCUUGACUUUGGGGUAACUUCAGGAAACUGGGGCUAAUACCGGAUAGGAGCUCCUGCUGCAUGGUGGGGGUUGGAAAGUUUCGGCGGUUGGGGAUGGACUCGCGGCUUAUCAGCUUGUUGGUGGGGUAGUGGCUUACCAAGGCUUGACGGGUAGCCGGCCUGAGAGGGUGACCGGCCACAUUGGGACUGAGAUACGGCCCAGACUCCUACGGGAGGCAGCAGUGGGGAAUAUUGCACAAUGGGCGGAAGCCUGAUGCAGCAACGCCGCGUGCGGGAUGACGGCCUUCGGGUUGUAAACCGCUUUCGCCUGUGACGAAGCGUGAGUGACGGUAAUGGGUAAAGAAGCACCGGCUAACUACGUG
RNAcentral lists this ribosomal RNA (467 nucleotides) under uncultured bacterium. RNAcentral's name for it is "partial 16S ribosomal RNA". It matches the Rfam family "Bacterial small subunit ribosomal RNA", at positions 28 to 507 of the family's 1533-position model. The record is from RNAcentral.